RNAcentral lists this ribosomal RNA (1267 nucleotides) under uncultured bacterium. Its description in RNAcentral is "bacterial SSU rRNA". It matches the Rfam family "Bacterial small subunit ribosomal RNA", at positions 218 to 1502 of the family's 1533-position model. The record is from RNAcentral.
UCGCUAGAUGGACCCGCGUCCCAUUAGCCAGUUGGUGGGGUAAAGGCCUACCAAAGCGACGAUGGGUAGCCGGCCUGAGAGGGUGACCGGCCACACUGGAACUGAGAUACGGUCCAGACUCCUACGGGAGGCAGCAGUGGGGAAUCUUCCGCAAUGGGCGAAAGCCUGACGGAGCAACGCCGCGUGAGCGAAGAAGGUCUUCGGAACGAACAAUUUCCCGUAAAUAAUGGGAAGGAAUGACGGUACAAUAAGAGGAAGCCACGGCUAACUACGUGCCAGCAGCCGCGGUAAUACGUAGGUGGCAAGCGUUAUCCGGAAUUAUUGGGCGUAAAGGGAGCGUAGGCGGUUUAUUAAGUCAAGAGUGAAAACUCCGGGCUCAACUCCGAAUUGCCUUAGGAAACUGGGGAACUUGAGUGCAGGAGAGGGCAAUGGAAUUCCAUGUGUAGCGGUAAAAUGCGUAGAUAUAUGGAGGAACACCAGUGGCGAAGGCGGUUGCCUGGCCUGUAACUGACGCUGAGGCUCGAAAGCGUGGGGAGCAAAUAGGAUUAGAUACCCUAGUAGUCCACGCUGUAAACGAUGAUUACUAAGUGUUGGAGAAAUUAACCUUCAGUGCCGCAGUAAACGCAAUAAGUAUCCCGCCUGGGGAGUACGGCCGCAAGGUUGAAACUCAAAGGAAUUGACGGGGGCCCGCACAAGCAGCGGAGCAUGUGGUUUAAUUCGAAGCAACGCGAAGAACCUUACCAGAACUUGAAAUCCCGGGAAAGAGAUUAGGGGGUGCCUGCUUGCAGGAGCCCAGACACAGGUGGUGCAUGGUUGUCGUCAGCUCGUGUCGUGAGAUGUUGGGUUAAGUCCCGCAACGAGCGCAACCCUUGUCAUUAGUUGCCAGCGGGUUAGGCUGGGCACUCUAAUGAGACUGCCGGGGAUAACUCGGAGGAAGGUGGGGACGACGUCAAAUCAUCAUGCCCCUUAUGUCUUGGGCUACACACGUGCUACAAUGGCCGGUACAAAGGGCUGCAAACCCGCAAGGGGGAGCGAAUCCCAUAAAGCCGGUCCCAGUUCGGAUUGUGGGCUGCAACCCGCCCACAUGAAGUCGGAGUUGCUAGUAAUCGCGGAUCAGCAUGCCGCGGUGAAUACGUUCCCGGGCCUUGUACACACCGCCCGUCACACCAUGGGAGUUGGGAGCGCCCGAAGCCGGUAUCCUAACCGUAAGGAGGGAGCCGUCGAAGGUGAGAUCAAUGACUGGGGUGAAGUCGUAACAAGGUAACCA